GAUGAACGCUGGCGGCGUGCCUAAUACAUGCAAGUCGAGCGAACAGACGAGGAGCUUGCUCCUCUGACGUUAGCGGCGGACGGGUGAGUAACACGUGGAUAACCUACCUAUAAGACUGGGAUAACUUCGGGAAACCGGAGCUAAUACCGGAUAAUAUAUUUAACCGCAUGGUUCAAUAGUUAAAGACGGUUUUGCUGUCACUUAUAGAUGUAUCCGCGCCGCAUUAGCUAGUUGGUAAGGUAACGGCUUACCAAGGCAACGAUGCGUAGCCGACCUGAGAGGGUGAUCGGCCACACUGGAAGUGAGACAAGGUACAGACUACUAAGGGAGGCAGCAGUAGGGAAUCUUCCGAAAUGGGCGAAAGCCUGACGGAGCAACGCCGCGUGAGUGAUGAAGGUCUUCGGAUCGUAAAACUCUGUUAUUAGGGAAGAACAAAUGUGUAAGUAAAUAUGCACGUAUUGACGGUACCUAAUCAGAAAGCCACGGCUAACUACGUG
Molecule: ribosomal RNA, 497 nt
Filed under: uncultured bacterium
Lineage: Bacteria
Description: partial 16S ribosomal RNA
Rfam family: Bacterial small subunit ribosomal RNA
Source: RNAcentral